AAUAUGGUAGGAGGGCGUUCUGUAAGCCUGCGAAGGUGUCUUGUAAAGGAUGCUGGAGGUAUCAGAAGUGCGAAUGCUGACAUGAGUAGCGAUAAUGCGGGUGAAAAGCCCGCACGCCGUAAGCCCAAGGUUUCCUGUUCAACGUUCAUCGGAGCAGGGUGAGUCGGCCCCUAAGGCGAGGCAGAGAUGCGUAGCUGAUGGGAAGCAGGUUAAUAUUCCUGCACCGUCGUAUGA
RNAcentral lists this ribosomal RNA (234 nucleotides) under Acinetobacter baumannii. RNAcentral's name for it is "partial 23S ribosomal RNA". It matches the Rfam family "Bacterial large subunit ribosomal RNA", at positions 1222 to 1454 of the family's 2925-position model. The record is from RNAcentral. Lineage: Bacteria; Pseudomonadati; Pseudomonadota; Gammaproteobacteria; Moraxellales; Moraxellaceae.